AUUAAGGAAACUACUUAAACAUAAGCUGGAUUGUUUUUGAGUCCGCCAUCAAAACUAUUAAAAUGUGUUUAAUAACAUUUUAUUCUGAUCUUAUUCCCUUUUAGUUUUUUAAUUAUUAGUCAGUUUGUCUGUGUUUCAUUGGUAGAAUAAGUAUAAAUAAAUAAAUGACAUCCUUUUCAUUUUGCAAAAUACUAAACUUCUGUUAACAGGAAUAAAACAAACUGACAGUGCCAUAGUGAUGUAUCAAGAAUAAACAUUACAUCAAUCAAGGAAAAAACCCUAACUGUACUUUCCCAUCACUCCUAAUUCUUCUGCUCAGUUUCUUCAUAGUUUAUAUUGCACAAGAAGGCAGUGAUUUCUUGACAGAUGACAUUUUAGUAAAAAUGAUCUACAAAAAAAGAAAAAAGAAUUGCGUCCUUAAGGCAAUAAUUCCCAGACUCAAAUUAUCUUACAUCAUACAAAGACCAGCUCUCUGAAGAAGAUUCUAAUGAUGAGAAUUGUGGAAGAAAAGAGGAUGACUGACAGAAAGGUGAAUGAGUCCCAUUGCAAUUUCAAUAGACAUAUUGGAAUAUUUGAAUAUUCAGGUUACGGACAGAUAGUCAUGGGAAAAAAUGUAUGCAAUCAUUAAGAGUUGAUGCCAACCUAAUAGCAUAUAAUCAAUCAAUGCUAUAAUUCAAAACUGCUGUUAGAUAUUUUGUAUUGUUCUAUCUUAUUUUAUAAAUAAAAAUGCUACACUUAUAUUUAAUAUGUAUAUUGCAAAAUUGCUGUUUUAAAGUUGCUGUUCUGUUUAUACUGUUUUGACCUUCUACUAUUGCUGAAACAGAAAUAUGCUGGAAUGCUGUUUCUCUGAAUGUAGAUAUAGAAUUUGGAGUCUGGAUUCUUUCAGCAAGAAACUAAUUUGAUAAUAACUAAGAGCUGAGAAUGAGAUAGAGUUUCACAAAUGUGGGCUAAAUAUCAGGCAUUAGAACAUGCAGGAUUUUGUCUAAAAAUCAUGACAGCACAGUUAGAAAGUUGCCUAAAGAGAUGUUAAGAAAUCUAUGAUAUUUAUUUUGUCUUAAGACCAGAGAAUAAAACAAAAACAGAAGAGUAUAUAAGGCCUACCUAUAAUGGCAAAUUAUGUUUUAUGAAAGCAUUGCUGAUGGUGGUAAAAUGCGGUACAUACGCUGUUGAGGAAGUUAUCAAUAAUGGCUCUAACUUGUAAGAAUAUAGUAUUGCAAGAAUAACUCUUUUAAAGUUUUCUUUAGCUUUCAGCGUUAUUGUUUGUUGUACAUUGAUCUACAAUUAGCUUUUCAAUAUGUAGUACAAAUGAUAUAAUUGUUUAGCACCGAUGGAGCAAAAGUUUGGUUAUGAAAUAAACCUGUUCAAAUUUUUGAUGAAAAAAAUGAAAAAUUGAGCAAAUCAAUAAUAAAACAUAAGAAAUUUGCACACAGAGAAAAGCUUGUGUAUGCAUGUUUGUUGUUGUGUCUCAGAGUAGCCUGCUCCUUCCUUCCUUCAGCCUUCUAUCUGGGUGUGGUUAUUUCCACAAGGAGUUAGUUGUU
Crotalus tigris (Tiger rattlesnake) is the source of this 1538-nucleotide long non-coding RNA. RefSeq lists it as uncharacterized. The record is from RefSeq and is a predicted model, not a curated record. The transcript is spliced from 3 exons. NCBI's taxonomy places the organism in Eukaryota, Metazoa, Chordata, Lepidosauria, Squamata, Viperidae.